Molecule: long non-coding RNA, 1428 nt
Organism: Chelonus insularis
Lineage: Eukaryota; Metazoa; Arthropoda; Insecta; Hymenoptera; Braconidae
Exons: 4
Source: RefSeq, a predicted model, not a curated record
CGAGACGGUUUUUUUUUUAUAUGAAUUAUUCCAUCUAUUAUUUUUCAAAUAUUCUAUGACUAAAUUCUCCUCCGGCCCUGCCCCCUCUUAAAAAUAAAUUUUCCUACUCCAAAACAUCUUAUUUCCCCUAAUUUUAAUUAUUUCCCCUCAUUUUUGACAGCUAACAAACAUUUUUGUUUAUAAAUAAUAAACAGUGUACAGUGUCAAUUUUAUAAAUGUAAACAUAACUCGUGUUGACAUGUAUUCGAGAGGCGAGUUAUCAUAGGAUAUCUAAAGAUUUUUAGCCGGCUUUCAAGUACUCUUUGGAAAUUAAGCGAUAGUAGUCAAAAAAUUGAUCAAUUAUGUGGUACAUUCCAAUGAUAAUAAGAAAAAAAGAAGCAAAAAGUUAUAGUACAAAAAAAAUGAUUAAAGAUGAAUACAAAAAAGGAGAUAAUUGUGUUAUUAUCGAAGAUGUUAUUAUCAGUGGAAGUAGUAUUUUAGAAAAGACUUAACUCCAGAAGGUUUGAACGUUACUAAAGCAUUAGUAAUUAUAGACCGAGAACAAAGUGGCAAAAAAAAUAUAGAAAAUGCUGGUAUUAAAGUAAGAAGUUUGUAUACUCUUACCAAGUUAAUGAAGUAUCUUUUUGAAGCUGUUAAAAUUACUUUAGAAACGAUUAAAAAUGUUUCUCAAUACAUAAAAGAAUAUUCAGCACCAUUGAUAACAUUGAAUAAAGGUAGCGAGGGCGUAAAAUCGUCUUCGAUAAAAAUGAAAAGUCAAGCCUAGCCUGCAGGAUACUUCUUAUUGUAUCUCUGCAAGAGUGCUUGUGAUACAUUCACUAAUUUUUUAUUGUAACUCAUAAUUAAUAAUGUUUUUUUUAAAUAUAUAGUCAAGCAAGUGAUGAUUGUUUGUUGUAAAUUUUAUAAUUGUUUUAGACAUAAAUCAUAGAGUAUUGUUUUCAUCUAAAAAUAAUUUUUUUUUCAUUUUUUAAAAAAAUCAUUUAAGAAAAGAACAUUCUUUAUAAGACACCUUAAUAAAUAUUUAUUAGAUUAAAUUUGUUGUAGAAUGAUUGCAAAUGAUAUUGGCGUUAAAGAGAUUAAUUGCAUUGACUGCUAUUUAAAAUAUUGUGAACUGAUGCUUGAAUUUGAGCGACAAAGACGAUUAUACAAAAUUGGAAAAUUAAGAUCGAAAGGAAAACUUUUUGAUUAUAUCAUCAAGUUUUACUUAUAAUUUUAAUCCUGAAAAGCAAGUCUUCAAUGUAUAAAUGUCUAGUGAUAGACAUAUAUAUGUUUGCAAUGUCUAGUGAUAAAAAAGAUCCACAAUUACAUAAUUUAUCUCGUUAAAUAUAUUUAUAUUAUAUAUUUAUAUAUAUAAGGAAUUCAGAUAUAAAUUGUAGAGUUCAAAAUUAAUGAAUUGUUAUUGUAAAGACCGUUAACAGUAUAUUAUGCAGU